This 333-nucleotide unclassified non-coding RNA is filed under the name uncultured fungus. RNAcentral describes it as "partial contains 5.8S ribosomal RNA and internal transcribed spacer 2". The stretch from base 1 to 133 matches the Rfam family "5.8S ribosomal RNA", at positions 22 to 154 of the family's 154-position model. Lineage: Eukaryota; Fungi. The record is from RNAcentral.
UGGCUCUCGCAUCGAUGAAGAACGCAGCGAAAUGCGAUAAGUAAUGUGAAUUGCAGAAUUCAGUGAAUCAUCGAAUCUUUGAACGCAACUUGCGCUCUCUGGUAUUCCGGAGAGCAUGCCUGUUUGAGUGUCAUGAAAUCUCAACCAUUAGGGUUUCUUAAUGGCUUGGAUUUGGGUGUUGCCAGUCUCUGGCUCGCCUUAAAGGAGUUAGCGAGUUUAACAAUGUCCUCUGGAGUAAUAAGUUUCUCUGGAAAGGCUUGUGAAGUUUGCUUCUAAUCGUCUUCGGACAAUUACUUUGACUCUGGCCUCAAAUCAGGUAGGACUACCCGCUGA